AUGAACGCUGGCGGCGUGCCUAAAACAUGCACGUCGAGCGAACGGAAGAGAAGCUGCCUUCUCUGAUGUUAGCGGCGGACGGGAGAGUAAAACGUGGAUAAGCUACCUAUUUGUUUGGGAUAAAUAAGGGAGACAAGCGUUCACACAGGCUACUAUCUAGAUACGCAUGGAACAAAAGUGACAGCCGGUCUUGCUGUCACUUAUAGAUGGAUCUGCGUUGCAUUAGCUAGUUGGUAGGGUAACGGCCAACCAAGGCAACGAUGCAUAGCCGGCCUGAGAGGGUGAUCAGCCACACUGGAACUGAGACACGGUCCAGACUCCUACGGGAGGCAGCAGUGGGGAAUCUUCGACAAUGGGCGAAAGCCUGACGGAGCCACGCCGCGUGAGUGAUGAAGGUCUUCGGGUCGUAAAACUCUUUUAUUGGGGAAGAACAUAAGUGUGUGUAUCUGUGCACGUCUUGACGGUACCUAAUCAGUAAGCCACGGCUAACUUCGUG
This 496-nucleotide ribosomal RNA is filed under the name uncultured bacterium. RNAcentral describes it as "partial 16S ribosomal RNA". It matches the Rfam family "Bacterial small subunit ribosomal RNA", at positions 29 to 507 of the family's 1533-position model. The record is from RNAcentral.